AGUAGGGAAUCUUCCGCAAUGGGCGAAAGCCUGACGGAGCACGCCGCGUGAGUGAUGAUGCUUUCGGCUCGUAAAACUCUGUUAUUAGGGAAGACAAAUGUGUAAGUAACUAUGCACAUCUUGACGGUACCUAAUCAGAAAGCCACGGCUAACUACGUGCCAGCAGCCGCGGUAAUACGUAGGUGGCA
RNAcentral lists this ribosomal RNA (188 nucleotides) under uncultured Staphylococcus sp. RNAcentral's name for it is "partial 16S ribosomal RNA". It matches the Rfam family "Bacterial small subunit ribosomal RNA", at positions 353 to 536 of the family's 1533-position model. Lineage: Bacteria; Bacillati; Bacillota; Bacilli; Caryophanales; Staphylococcaceae. The record is from RNAcentral.